This 218-nucleotide unclassified non-coding RNA is filed under the name Tricholoma robustum. Its description in RNAcentral is "ITS2;putative". Lineage: Eukaryota; Fungi; Basidiomycota; Agaricomycetes; Agaricales; Tricholomataceae. The record is from RNAcentral.
AAAUUCUCAACCUUUCGGCUUUCCCAAAGUUGAUUAGGCUUGGAUGUGGGAGUUUGCGGGCUUUUUUUAAAGUCGGCUCUCCUUAAAUUCAUUAGUAGGGACCUUUGUUGCCUUAACUUUUGGUGUGUUUUGGUGAUAAUUAUCUACGCCAUUAUGUGAAGCAGCUUUAAAUUGGAGGUUACUGCUUUCUAAUCGUCUUCGGACAUUUCCUGACAAUU